Long non-coding RNA from Bubalus bubalis (water buffalo), 1135 nucleotides. RefSeq lists it as uncharacterized. Lineage: Eukaryota; Metazoa; Chordata; Mammalia; Artiodactyla; Bovidae. The transcript has 2 exons. The record is from RefSeq and is a predicted model, not a curated record.
UUUAUUUAUUUUUAAAAUCCCUUCCUAGUGAGAUCGCUGAGGCUCAACUUGCUCCAUCUGCAGAAUGUCAGUAAUCUUACCUCUCAUGGGCUGGCUGUGAUUAGAUGCCCCCGUGACUGACACCUGGGACACCAGAGCUACCUGAUUAAGCUUGGUGGGCUCCACGUGUGUUCAUUUAUUCAGCAUGUCACAGGCACAAAUGCACUGCGCUGAGCAUCAAGGGGAGUUAAAACCCACACAGGACCCGGGGCAGCACAUGGCUCAGUCUCCAAAGGGAGCUGCAUGGAGAGAUGCUUGGACUUGAGGGAGCCGGGAGGGAGGGGAGUUGCCCUUGGUCUCGACAAGUCUGUGGUCAGGAUCGUGAUGACCCAGUAACUUUCCUCCAAGAUCAGUGUUCUCAGGAUUAAGUCCUAACCAUCCAUCCAUUGCUGGAACAUUGUUGAAGACCUACUAUGUGUCUGCACUGUGAAAGAGGUGGGGACUACACAGGCCUUUCUUAGCCCCACCCCCACCCCACCCCAUCUCUGCUUCCAUCCUCUCCUUGGGAGAAUCCCUGUCCCAGGAGAUCCGGGGACUAGGAGGAGCUGCAGGAGACUACGUCAGAGCUUCACGGUGUCUCUCUGCAGAGGUCCUGGCCCCUCUCAGCAUGUGGAAAAGGUGAAAACCUGCAUUUGCUUCCCAAGCCUGCGGCCAGUGGGGCUGGGCUCCUGGGACACUGAAGACUUGGAAACUGAGGCACAGAGAGGCUAAGCCUCUUGUUCAAGUUCACACAGCACGUAAGCAGCGAGUGUGGGACUCCAGAGCCACAUGUCACCAGAAUCUUUGUAGAAAGUCGGUGCCUGGAGAGGGAUGGGUCUCAGCGAAGUGUCCACGAUGGUCACAGGAGGAGGAAGGGGGACCUCAGGGCUCGAGCCUCAAGCCCUCACUCUAUGGGAAGCAGCUCCAGCAUCACCUCUUCCCUCCUGGGCCUGCCACCACCCUGCUCAUCUACCUUUCUCCUGGAAUUCCAGGUUUUCCUGGUUGAUCGCUGUGACUCCAGGAACUACAUCAGCCCAUGAAAGCAGGACCUGGUCUGUCCAGUUCAGGGCCAUGGCCCCGGCCCGUGUCAGUACUUAAUACAUUUUGGCGAAAGAUC